This 261-nucleotide ribosomal RNA is filed under the name Escherichia coli. Its description in RNAcentral is "partial 16S ribosomal RNA". It matches the Rfam family "Bacterial small subunit ribosomal RNA", at positions 310 to 563 of the family's 1533-position model. Lineage: Bacteria; Pseudomonadati; Pseudomonadota; Gammaproteobacteria; Enterobacterales; Enterobacteriaceae. The record is from RNAcentral.
ACACUGGAACUGAGACACGGUCCAGACUCCUACGGGAGGCAGCAGUGGGGAAUAUUGCACAAUGGGCGCAAGCCUGAUGCAGCCAUGCCGCGUGUAUGAAGAAGGCCUUCGGGUUGUAAAGUACUUUCAGCGGGGAGGAAGGGAGUAAAGUUAAUACCUUUGCUCAUUGACGUUACCCGCAGAAGAAGCACCGGCUAACUCCGUGCCAGCAGCCGCGGUAAUACGGAGGGUGCAAGCGUUAAUCGGAAUUACUGGGCGUAA